UGGGGAAUUUUGGACAAUGGGGGAAACCCUAAUCCAGCCAUCCCGCGUGUGCGAUGAAGGCCUUCGGGUUGUAAAGCACUUUUGGCAGGAAAGAAACGUCGCGGGUUAAUACCCCGCGAAACUGACGGUACCUGCAGAAUAAGCACCGGCUAACUACGUGCCAGCAGCCGCGGUAAUACGUAGGGUGCAAGCGUUAAUCGGAAUUACUGGGGCGUAAAGCGUGCGCAGGCGGUUCGGAAAGAAAGAUGUGAAAUCCCAGAGCUUAACUUUGGAACUGCAUUUUUAACUACCGGGCUAGAGUGUGUCAGAGGGAGAUGGAAUUCCGCGUGUAGCAGUGAAAUGCGUAGAUAUGCGGAGGAACACCGAUGGCGAAGGCAGCCUCCUGGGAUAACACUGACGCUCAUGCACGAAAGCGUGGGGAGCAAACAGGAUUAGAUACCCUGGUAGUCCACGCCCUAAACGAUGUCAACUAGCUGUUGGGGCCUU
Molecule: ribosomal RNA, 486 nt
Filed under: uncultured bacterium
Lineage: Bacteria
Description: partial 16S ribosomal RNA
Rfam family: Bacterial small subunit ribosomal RNA
Source: RNAcentral